This 806-nucleotide long non-coding RNA is filed under the name Olea europaea subsp. europaea. Lineage: Eukaryota; Viridiplantae; Streptophyta; Magnoliopsida; Lamiales; Oleaceae. The record is from RNAcentral.
GUUUAAUUUCAUAACUCAGAUGGUAAUUUGAAAUUAUUAAAUAAAUAUAUUCCUAAUAAUUCAACCUACUCAACCCUGACUUUCACACACCACAUCCAAUCUCUCUCUCCCUCUCUCUCAUUCCCCUCAUGCCAGUCUUCACCACCACCACUAUUGGCGGCAGUCUCUUAGCUGAAAAACGAGUAUUUUCGGUGAGAUUGAGAUCCGGCUACGAAGCCGAAUUGAUCUCUCAACAACUCAAACUACCAAAAAAUGAGUAUUUUCCAAUGAGAUUGAGAUCUGGCCAUAAGCGAAAUUGAUCUUUCAGCAACUUGUGUAUGCGAUUCAUGAUGAUGAUCUUGAGUUAGCUUUGAACCUCAUUUCACAAACAAAUUUCUCCUUUCCCGGAAGACCCUCCAAGAAAAGAUAGGCCAAAUGACCUAGAUCGAAUAGAGCGUUGCCAUGCCUUCCACCAUCAAAGAUCAUUGUAUAGGUCAAUUAAUAUCAUGUGAUUAUAGGAAUAUGUAGUAGUUAGUGUGUACCAUGUGUGUAAAUUUGUGGGUUUGUGCUAAUUUACAGGAAGUUUGCUGAGUGGGGGUGGGAGCAAGCCAUUUGACAUGGCGAAUUCGGCCAACUGGGCUAAUAUGAUUGAUGGGUUCCAGAAUGUGGAGCUGGAGUCACGACUUGGCAUUCCAAUUAUCAAUUCUGAUAUUUAUAAUAAAAACAUAAUUGUUCAUUGUUAUUGUAAUACUGUUCAAUAUUUUGAUUAAAAUAUAAGACACAAUGCAUUAGAAUUUUGAUAUUUUAGAUUUUAGUUUUAGUUUUGG